AGAUCAUCCUACAGAGGGCUUUGGGGGCUGUGAAACCAGGAGCUCUUAACUCCAUGACUGAAGAUUGAAGUUCUCCAUUGGAUGCCACAGUCACUCAAUAGUCCUAAGCUUUUGCAAAGAAAUAUGCAA
Small nucleolar RNA from Vulpes vulpes (red fox), 129 nucleotides. The record is from Ensembl. NCBI's taxonomy places the organism in Eukaryota, Metazoa, Chordata, Mammalia, Carnivora, Canidae.